This is a non-coding RNA of Cajanus cajan (pigeon pea), 793 nucleotides long. The record is from RefSeq and is a predicted model, not a curated record. Lineage: Eukaryota; Viridiplantae; Streptophyta; Magnoliopsida; Fabales; Fabaceae.
CCCUGGCACUGGUUGAAAGAGGAAGCGGUGUUGGACUUUGAAAGCUGGAAGGAAAGUUGGUUUGGAUGACCCGAAGAACGUUUGGUUAGUGAACGUUGGACUUGGUCAAUGAAUCCUUCAUUCCUAGUUCUGGACUCUCAAAUCUAACAGUCAAAUCCCAAUCCAAGCAGCUAACUAGCCAUAGCCAUAGAUUUUCUGCUACUUCACCUGCUCUGACCUAACAGCAUCUUCCGAAACAAAUAUACAUAAUAGGAUCUCACCAUUAUUUCAACUUUCCCUUCUUCACCUGGUGACUGGUUGAUCCAUGGAUUUUAAAAGGACAAUCCAAGUUGAAGAGAGUAAUGAAGAUACUCGCAAAUGUGCGUGCCUCAAUUUCAAGCUUGACAUGCAUGUUGUUCAACUUGUGCCUUUCAGAGCAUGCAGUUCUGCACGUCGCAGGUUUCCCGACCGGGCAUGGAUAGAAGUGUAUGCGUGGCUGACAUUUCAUAUUGUCUUAUCUUUGGACACUAAGUCUCGUUUUAUCCAGCAUAGAGAUUUGGUUUGAAGGAAGAGCUGUACCCACUGAUCUGACCUCUUCAUUUGGUAAUAUAAAGGAAUCCAAACUUCAGAAACUACAGAGAUGUCAAAGUCCGCAUCCUAGUGUGUUUAUGUUUCCAUGGAGAAAGAAUAAUGCAUGUGUGUGCUAUCAAAUAUAUAUAUGAUGUUGAAGGUACAAGUGGCGAUUCCCAUAACACCCCAAGGUCAUCAUCGUAACCUUGCGGUGCAUGAGGAGCAGUGGUGAUUGAAACCAGAG